Molecule: small nuclear RNA, 59 nt
Organism: Cercocebus atys (sooty mangabey)
Lineage: Eukaryota; Metazoa; Chordata; Mammalia; Primates; Cercopithecidae
Gene: U7
Rfam family: U7 small nuclear RNA
About the family: Animal histone pre-mRNAs are spliced by a different mechanism than nuclear pre-mRNAs and self-splicing introns. This processing involves the U7 snRNP, which contains only one RNA species: U7.
Source: Ensembl
AAGUGUUAUAGCUCUUUUAGAACUUGUCUAGGUUUGCUGGUUUUCACUGGAAAACACUC